CCUACGGGAGGCAGCAGUGAGGAAUAUUGGUCAAUGGGCUUACGCCUGAACCAGCCAAGUCGCGUGAGGGAAGACUGCCCUAUGGGUUGUAAACCUCUUUUGUCAGGGAGCAACGCCGGCUACGUGUAGCCGGACUGAGAGUACCUGAAGAAAAAGCAUCGGCUAACUCCGUGCCAGCAGCCGCGGUAAUACGGAGGAUGCGAGCGUUAUCCGGAUUUAUUGGGUUUAAAGGGUGCGCAGGCGGAAUGUCAAGUCAGCGGUAAAAUUUCGGGGCUCAACCCCGUCGUGCCGUUGAAACUGGCGUUCUUGAGUGAGCGAGAAGUAUGCGGAAUGCGUGGUGUAGCGGUGAAAUGCAUAGAUAUCACGCAGAACUCCGAUUGCGAAGGCAGUUCACUGGACUGCAACUGACACUGAGGCUCGAAAGUGUGGGUAUCAAACAGGAUUAGAUACCCUGGUAGUC
This 460-nucleotide ribosomal RNA is filed under the name uncultured bacterium. RNAcentral describes it as "partial 16S ribosomal RNA". It matches the Rfam family "Bacterial small subunit ribosomal RNA", at positions 338 to 795 of the family's 1533-position model. The record is from RNAcentral.